GGGCCCGCACAAGCGGCGGAGCAUGCGGAUUAAUUCGAUGCAACGCGAAGAACCUUACCAAGGCUUGACAUAUAGAGGAAAAGUGCAGAAAUGCACUCCCCGCAAGGUCUCUAUACAGGUGGUGCAUGGUUGUCGUCAGCUCGUGUCGUGAGAUGUUGGGUUAAGUCCCGCAACGAGCGCAACCCUCGUCCUAUGUUGCCAGCACGUAAUGGUGGGAACUCAUGGGAUACUGCCGGUGCAAACCGUGAGGAAGGUGGGGACGACGUCAAAUCAUCACGGCCCUUACGUCCUGGGCCACACACGUGCUACAAUGGUAGGUACAGAGGGAAGCCACCCCGCGAGGGGAGCGGA
This 351-nucleotide ribosomal RNA is filed under the name uncultured bacterium. Its description in RNAcentral is "bacterial SSU rRNA". It matches the Rfam family "Bacterial small subunit ribosomal RNA", at positions 917 to 1271 of the family's 1533-position model. The record is from RNAcentral.